This 252-nucleotide ribosomal RNA is filed under the name uncultured bacterium. Its description in RNAcentral is "partial 16S ribosomal RNA". It matches the Rfam family "Bacterial small subunit ribosomal RNA", at positions 1240 to 1500 of the family's 1533-position model. The record is from RNAcentral.
CAGAGGGCAGCUACCCAGCAAUGGGAUGCGAAUCUCGAAAGCCUGUCUCAGUUCGGAUUGGAGGCUGAAACCCGCCUCCAUGAAGUUGGAUUCGCUAGUAAUCGCGCAUCAGCCAUGGCGCGGUGAAUACGUUCCCGGGCCUUGUACACACCGCCCGUCAAGCCAUGGGAGCCGGGGGUGCCUGAAGUUCGUGACCGCAAGGAGCGACCUAGGGCAAAACUGGUGACUGGGGCUAAGUCGUAACAAGGUAAC